GUAACUUUAACACCCAAAAUACCAUUAAUUUUUAUGAACCCCUAAUUUAUAAUGAAUGACUCCAUAUUUAUAUGGAAGACACCAUGCUAGGAUUAGUAACAAGAAUUUAUAAUUCUCCAAAAUGCAAAUAUAAACCAACAUGGAUAGACCAUUGGUAGUUACCGAACCUAAAUUUAAUGCAAUAACAUCCACAAGAAAACUCUGCAGCACUCACUCGUUAACCUAACACCAGCGCAUUACAGGAAAGAUUCAAAAAAAGAGAAGGAAUUCGGCAAAUGACGACCCCGCCUGUUUACCAAAAACAUCGCCUCUUGACUUAUAAUAAGAGGUCUAGCCUGCCCAGUGAAUUUUAAACGGCCGCGGUAUCCUAACCGCGCGAAGGUAGCAUAAUCACUUGUUCUUUAAAUGGGGACUCGUAUCAACGGCAUCACGAGGGUCUUACUGUCUCCUCUUUUUGAUCAGUGAAAUUGAUCUUCCCGUGAAGAAGCGGGAAUAUUUUUAUAAGACGAGAAGACCCCAUGGAGCUUUAAACCAAAUAACAACUUAACCACUUAUCCCAUAAUAAAUUUAACCCCUGUUAUAAGGUUUUUGGUUGGGGUGACCGCGGAGUAAAGCACAUCCUCCACGACGGAAAGAAUAAAAUCUUUAUUUAAGAACCACACUUCUAGAAAUUAGUAUACUAACGUUUACUGACCCGACAAUCGAUCAACGGACCAAGUUACCCUGGGGAUAACAGCGCAAUCUACUUCGAGAGCUCAUAUCGACAAGUAGGCUUACGACCUCGAUGUUGGAUCAGGGUAUCCCGGUGGUGCAGCCGCUACCGAAGGUUCGUUUGUUCAACGAUU
RNAcentral lists this ribosomal RNA (845 nucleotides) under Polypedates leucomystax (Java whipping frog). Its description in RNAcentral is "partial 16S ribosomal RNA". It matches the Rfam family "Bacterial large subunit ribosomal RNA", at positions 1506 to 2589 of the family's 2925-position model. Lineage: Eukaryota; Metazoa; Chordata; Amphibia; Anura; Rhacophoridae. The record is from RNAcentral.